CACCCAACAGCUAGCCUAACCCACAAAAUACAACAUACCAAUAUUUAUACCCCCUAAAACCCUAGUAACCACUAAACAAACCAUUUUUCCUCCUAAGUAUGGGAGACAGAAAAGGAUACAUAAGCGCAAUAGAAAAAGUACCGCAAGGGAACGCUGAAAGAGAAAUGAAAUAACUCAGUAAAGUAAAAAAAAGCAGAGACAAAACCUCGUACCUUUUGCAUCAUGUUUUAACUAGAAAAACUCAAGCAAGGAGAACUUUAGUUUGCUUUCCCGAAACCAAGUGAGCUACUCCAAGGCAGCCUAAAUUAAAGGGCAAACCCGUCUCUGUGGCAAAAGAGUGGGAAGAACUUAGAGUAGAGGUGACAGACCUACCGAACUUGGUUAUAGCUGGUUGCCUGAGAAUUGAAUAGAAGUUCAGCUUUCUAGUUUCUCCACUCAAAUAUGCCUCAGCUCUCACUGACUAAAAGAAACUAAAAAAGUUAGUUAAAGGGGGUACAGCCCCUUUAAAUAAAGACACAACUUUUCCAGCUGGGUAAAGAUCAUAAUAACCAAGGCAUAAUGUUUUAGUGGGCCUAAAAGCAGCCAUCUAAAGAAAGCGUUAAAGCUCAGACAUAAUAUAAUCCACCCAAUUCAGAUAAUAAUUCUUAACCCCCUAACUAUAUCAGGCUUUUCCAUGUCCCCAUGGAAGUAAUAAUGUUAAUAUGAGUAAUAAGAGAACUUAAUUCUCUCCUGGCACAUGUGUAAAUCGGAACGGACCUCCCACCGAAAAUUAACGGCCCCAAAAAAAGAGGGUAAUGAACCGUAAGUUUAAAAACAAGAAACACCCCCAAAAAUGAACCGUUAACCCCACACUGGUGUACCCCAAGGAAAGACUAAAAGAAAAAGAAGGAACUCGGCAAACAUAAGCCUCGCCUGUUUACCAAAAACAUCGCCUCUUGCAAAAACAAAGAAUAAGAGGUCCCGCCUGCCCUGUGACAAAUAGUUUAACGGCCGCGGUAUUUUGACCGUGCAAAGGUAGCGCAAUCACUUGUCUUUUAAAUGAAGACCCGUAUGAAUGGCACGACGAGGGCCUGACUGUCUCCUUUUUCCAGUCAAUGAAAUUGAUCUCUCCGUGCAGAAGCGGGGAUAAGAACAUAAGACGAGAAGACCCUAUGGAGCUUUAGACACCAAGGCAGCUUUUUUAACAACCCCAAAAUAAAGGGGACAUUUGAAAAACCCCUGCCCUAUUGUCUUUGGUUGGGGCGACCGCGGGGUAACAAAAAACCCCCAUGUAGAUUGGGAAUUAUUUCCCACAACCAAGAGCCACAGCUCUAAGCAACAGAACAUCUGACUAUUAGAUCCGGCAAUGCCGAUCAACGAACCGAGUUACCCUAGGGAUAACAGCGCAAUCCCCUUUUAGAGUCCAUAUCGACAAGGGGGUUUACGACCUCGAUGUUGGAUCAGGACAUCCUAAUGGUGCAGCCGCUAUUAAGGGUUCGUUUGUUCAACGAUUAAAGUCCU
RNAcentral lists this ribosomal RNA (1500 nucleotides) under Trichopsis vittata (croaking gourami). Its description in RNAcentral is "partial 16S ribosomal RNA". It matches the Rfam family "Bacterial large subunit ribosomal RNA", at positions 120 to 2597 of the family's 2925-position model. The record is from RNAcentral. Lineage: Eukaryota; Metazoa; Chordata; Actinopteri; Anabantiformes; Osphronemidae.